This 206-nucleotide ribosomal RNA is filed under the name uncultured bacterium. Its description in RNAcentral is "partial 16S ribosomal RNA". It matches the Rfam family "Bacterial small subunit ribosomal RNA", at positions 125 to 334 of the family's 1533-position model. The record is from RNAcentral.
ACUGCCCAUGGAGGGGGAUAACUACUGGAAACGGUAGCUAAUACCGCAUAACGUCGCAAGACCAAAGAGGGGGACCUUCGGGCCUCUUGCCAUCGGAUGUGCCCAGAUGGGAUUAGCUAGUAGGUGGGGUAACGGCUCACCUAGGCGACGAUCCCUAGCUGGUCUGAGAGGAUGACCAGCCACACUGGAACUGAGACACGGUCCAG